RNAcentral lists this transfer RNA (68 nucleotides) under Rana temporaria (common frog). RNAcentral describes it as "tRNA-Gly". It matches the Rfam family "tRNA". Rfam says of the family: Transfer RNA (tRNA) molecules are approximately 80 nucleotides in length. Their secondary structure includes four short double-helical elements and three loops (D, anti-codon, and T loops). RNAcentral also lists the same sequence under 1 other name. The record is from RNAcentral. Lineage: Eukaryota; Metazoa; Chordata; Amphibia; Anura; Ranidae.
AUUUUCUUAGUAUAGUAGUAUAGAUGACUUCCAAUCAUCUGGCCUUGGUUAAACUCCGAGAGAAAAUA